GCAUAUAUUCGUAUAAGAGGCCUACGACACGCAGGGGAUCUCUAUAUACGUAUAGUAAAAGUAAUGCCCACCUGGAUAGGCAAAGCCUGAAGAUCAUAAUCACAUAACCUGUCUUGGGAAAGCAGUGCUAAUCCCCCUUGGUCCACAAAGCCUACAAGAAAUUCUAUUCUUAAUAGGUCUCCUUGAAUCUAAUCUUAAGUCAUGGUGUAGUCCUUAACAUUCUAUGAUUCACUUAGCCGGGUUUUUAAUGAGUAAAUAAUUAAAAACAUUUCUCUUGAGUUAAGAACACCAACAAUAUUCUUACUCAUCUUUCUUUAAUAAUUGGAAUUAUAAAUAAAACCA
Molecule: long non-coding RNA, 342 nt
Filed under: Salvia miltiorrhiza (redroot sage)
Lineage: Eukaryota; Viridiplantae; Streptophyta; Magnoliopsida; Lamiales; Lamiaceae
Description: long non-coding RNA (SMIL_LNC013986)
Source: RNAcentral